This 119-nucleotide ribosomal RNA is filed under the name Triticum aestivum (bread wheat). Lineage: Eukaryota; Viridiplantae; Streptophyta; Magnoliopsida; Poales; Poaceae. The record is from RNAcentral.
GGAUGCGAUCAUACCAGCACUAAAUCACCGGAUCCCAUCAGAACUCCGAAGUUAAGCGUGCUUGGGCGAGAGUAGUACUAGGAUGGGUGACCUCUUGGGAAGUCCUCGUGUUGCAUUCC